Molecule: long non-coding RNA, 7027 nt
Filed under: Lactuca sativa (garden lettuce)
Lineage: Eukaryota; Viridiplantae; Streptophyta; Magnoliopsida; Asterales; Asteraceae
Description: long non-coding RNA (LSAT_LNC006563)
Source: RNAcentral
UGAGUCGAAGUUUAUCCAUUCCUUUUACCUUCGGGAUAAAAGCGAUAUCUGUGGGCCCCUCGAUGAUUUGAUGAUGACAAAUGGAAGUGCUCGGCCGGGCCAGGACUGAUUUGAUUUGUUCAAUUAGUCAGUCGUCAUAAAUCGGAAAUCGGGAAACAACAAAUGGACAGAGAGAAUGAUUAUAAUCCAUGUCUCAGUCCAUAUGAUAUCUAGAAUGGAGGAAUAUAUGAUCCCUUAUCUAAUGGACAAGUCAUUGACAAAGGUCAGAGUUCAUCUACAAGGUCAGAGUUCGACAGAAGCUUUUGAGAGCUACGAUUGCCAGUUGGUUCCUGAAGUCAUACGCAAUAAUAGUUUUAGACUUAUCCAAGUGGGAGACUGUUGGAUUAAUGUCUAAGUCCAUAACUAUAAUUGGUAAGACUUGACCCGACCCGGCAUGGUCCAUUUGGGUUGCAUACCAUCAUGCACUUGGAUAGACUAUAAUGAGAGAAAUAAGACACUUAUGGUUAUUAAUAUAUUAUAAGUUCUAGUAUAUUAAUAAUAAGAAUAAUAAGAUUAUUUAAUUAGUAUUGAUCAAGAAUUAAUCUAGGAUUAAUUAAGUGAUCAAAAGAAGACUAAUUAAAUAUAUGGGUUGAUUGUGUAAAUCAUCCAUACUUGUAUAGUGGGCUAAUGCUCCAUGGAUAAUCAAGUUGGGCUAAAACCCAUAGGAUGGUCCAUGGAUGCUCCAUGGUGUAUUUGUACCCAUGGAUCCAAGGAAAUGGAAAGCCAUGACAAUUAAGAGUUUACCCUAAUUGUGUAACUAUAUAAGCAUCUUAUUAUUGAGGAAAAAUCGGCCACUAGUGAUAGUGAAGAAAGGGCUAGCCGAUUUUGAAGAGUGUAGAAUUCUCUCAAGUCAUUCCAAGUGUUUUGAUGAUUGUGAUUCCAUUUGAGGUGUCACACUUGGGGCACUAGGCACUCAAGCUUCAUGAAGACUUUCUACAUCAAAGAGGUAUGUAUUCUAUCUUGUUAUAGUCAUUGUUUUGUAUGCUAGAUUAGGAUAAUACCUUGGAAGUUCUUAUUUGCAUGUAUAAUAGAGAAAACAUAGAUCCAAGGUAUUUAGGGUUGCAUGUACACUUAGGAGUGUUAGAAUGCUCAAAACCCAACAGUGGUAUCAGAGCCUAGGCUUGUUUUCUUGUUAUACCUGCAAUAGAAGCUGAAAAAACGAAUCUGGUGCUGUCUGGCCAUCAGACUCGGCGAGUCCAUCAGGAGACUCGACGAGUCCAUGCCUAAAAAGUGAUGAAUUCGAUCCAACUCGCCGAGUUUGUUCAUGCACUCGACGAGUUGGACCCCCAGACAGCAUAUUUUCGAGUUUUUUGGCUAGAAAUGGACUAGGAACAUUACCCUAAGUUGUUUUUGAACUUAUAAACUUGUUUUUGAUGUGGUAAUGUUCAUGCUAAUCCAUUUUCAAAGAUAAUUGUCAAUAGAUUCAUGUUUUGUAUUAGUUUAAGGUUUAGACUAAUUACAUGAAAAAGUUUGAUUUGAAUUAUCUUGUUCUUAUGAGUUGCUUAGAUUAAUAGAAAUGUUGAGUGAAAUAGUUGUUUUCAAUCCAUUUUAAUCUAAGAGUUGAGUAUAAAAUGUGUUUGUGUAACUUGUCCUCAAGUUACAUGAAGAGUCACAUUAAAGACUCAUAAAACUCAUAAAAGUUGGCAAUGGUUACAAAAUGAAGAGUCUUGUGUCAUUGAAUAAUUUUUUUUGACUCCAUAACUUGUCCUCAAGUUAUGGAAGUUCAAGAGUCACUUCAUUAAAGAAAAAUAUGUAACCAUAAUUAAAUCCAUAAGUUAUAAAAUAAAGAAAAAGUUAGUUCUUUUAUUAGUUUAAAGUCUUCCAUAACUUGUCCUCAAGUUAUGGAACUUGAAGAGUUUUUGGAUUAAAACUACUUUAAACACAUAAGUUAUGGAAUUAAUUAGUUUUGAAUAGUUUCAAAACUUGCCCUCAAGUUUUGGAAUUUGAAAAGUUUUCAAGUAUGAAUACUUUAAUUCCAAGUUAGCCCUUAGAAUUUUAAAAGUUAAAAUUCAACCCUUAUACUUUAUAAUAUUAUAAGUUAAUAAUAUAUAUAUGUAUAAGAGUAAAGUCAGUCUUACCGCUAGUACGCCUCAUUCACGAAGCCGGUCUAUAAGGUGGGUAUAAGGUUGUUGCCUAUAAAAUGGCAACUUAAUGGGUGUCCACUCUCACCCACCGCUUGCUUGACUGGUGGAGGGUCGUUAGCCGAACGGGUUUGACAGGACUAGAAUUCUCCCUUCAUUAAAAGUAUUAAUGAUAAUACUAAGUAACUAAACUCUUAAUAAUACCCAAUCUUAGUUACUUAGGAAAAAUGUGAAUAAGGUGCUAAUCCAUGAAAUUACACUUUACACUUUGUCUAAGUCGUUAGUGGAGCGUGUGUGGUUAACCGGCACACUAACUUGGACUUAACAAGGUAGGUAAAGGGUGACUUAAUAUUUAUCAUAGUAUCGAUGGAGCGUGUGUGGUUAACCGGCACAUCGAUUGAGGGGUAAUUUAUUAAGGGUACCAAGUGAUUUGCAUGGUUACUUCACACCUUGUUUUGUGAUCCUCGGCAUCCCAGUCACAAAACCUGAAGGGCACACUCGAGAUUGAAACAUGCCUUUGAAAAGUUCAAUGAAUCUCAAAGAUCUAGGAGUUUCAAAACCAAUUAAAACCUAAUAAUACAUUUCGUUUAUCUUGGUGGAAAUUGGUGAAUCGUCAUUCACCUACCUUCAAAUAUUUUAUAGCUUGGAUUACGGCAUACCUCUUCUAAGUUAUAAAAUAGUUUGUUGGGUCCUAGCCUUAAUAUUUCAUAUUGGGUGUCAUAUUAAGGACUUUAAAUCAACUAUCUUGAAUAUCUCCCAAAAGAUGUCUGGUUUAGACACCUAUGAUCUUCCCAAAUCUCUUGAAACAAGGUUUCCUAAUGAAGAUGAUGUCCCAUGGAUAUCAUACUUCUUCACCUCUUCAAAUUAUUCUCCCUAACCCACAAGUUCUUGAAAAGUUUAAGGUCACUCAGGCCCUAUUAGCAAGGCAAGGUCUAGGUGUGGUCACAUCUUGGAGAUGUAGUCACAUAUUGACAAGCCGGGAGAGUUGGGUGUCAAAGUCUUGAGAAAGUUGGUGGUUCAACCACUUUCUAAGUCACAUAGUGAGUUCCUUUGGGACACCUAUGAAACAGACUAUGACAAGACCCUUAAUGAUCUUAUCUAUUUGCUAAGAUCAACUUCCUAAAACUUUAUGGACAUUGACAAUGAUGACAUUGGAUAUCCAGUAAAGCAUUCUCUUCCCAAUGGAAAGGGAUCGGCCAUAGUCAACUCGGUUGACCAAAUGGUAAAGAGAAAAGCUAAGUCUGUGAUAGUCCCGUGUACCAUUAUCAAAGGGUCCAUAUGUUUAUAUUGCCAAAGGAAGGGGCAUUGGUUGCGAAGCUGCCAAAUUUACCUAAGGAUGUUAAAGUCAAUAAGUUUGACUCUACUUCAGGUAAAGUCCACUAUCUAACUCUGUUAAGUUUCUAUUCUGAGAUUCUUGAUACAUGAUGUGACUGGGUCACAUGGUGAUGUUUUAAGAAUCAAAGAAAAGUGAAGAAACUUAAAGAAAGAAUAUGCUGAAUCUGAUGGCGUAGAUGGAUUUCUAUCGCAUAGUUUGAAGAUCGGAUUCUUGAGCUACUUCUUAGGAGUUAUGAGAUAUUGCUUAGGAAUAGAUAACAACAAGUUUUCAUAUGGAUUGUAAGGAUAAGUUUUUCCGCAAAGUUUUAAAAUAAAAGAAAAUUUUUUUGAUUUUAUUUAUUUUAAAAUAUCCUUACAAUGGCUUUUGAGGAAAAAUUGUUGCUUAUAUGAUUCCAUUAAGAGCAAGAGUGGAAAUAUGAAAUUGAUUCUUUCAUUUGUGGUAAUGUCUAGAUUUACCAAAUAAGGAAAGAUUCUCAUCACCCAAGUUUCAAUUGGACCGGAACUUGGAAUCAUGCAAGUUGUAUAGCAUGAUGAAUGAGAACUUUCAAGUUUUGGAAAAUUAAGACUAAUUACUUGUUCACAUGGAUGUGUGAGUCAAGUAAAGGACUAAGGGAUCGAGUACACAUUCUUGUGCACUGAUUAAGUCCACCACUAAAGAUCGAUAAGAAGAAUCAAAUAAGGCAGAAGGAUAAAAGUUUCUCAAAUCUGAAAAGAUGGGAGAGUACUUUAGUAUCAGUUUUGUGAUCAUCUUAAUGAUUAAGAAACCAUAUCAAAAUUAGUUCUCUAAGGAAAUCUUAGUGCAUUCUUAUGACUAAGAAGAGGAACUUGAAUUGUUGAAAUGGUUAAAUCAAGAAGAUGAGUCAUACUUCGUUCCAAUACAAGUCUUAGAGUCAUACUCCAAGAUUGUCAUUUGAGUGACAUGUCUUAAAGAAGGUUUAAAACACUUGUCAAAUGUAAGAGUAAAAGUUUUCUACUCUUGUACAUUUGAAAUUGGUAAGUUGUGAUGUUUUGGAUAAAACAAAGACCAACUUAGGCCAAUUGGGUAAAGUGUUUUUCUUGAUUAGAAUCCGCACUAUCUCUUGGAUGUUUGACAAGGGAGUCUUAUAUGUCAAGAGGACAGUGGGAGUCUUAAAGGUCUUGAAAGUCUCAAGAAAUAAUCAAGAAUAAAACCUAAAGUUCUUCACUAGCACACGACUUGAGGUUUAUAACCUAUCGUGUUGACAUAUCUGUGCCCAUUCCAGUUAAAGUUGGCUUUGCAUAUGAGUUCUUAGAGUUCUCAGUUUGUUGCAUAACAACUUGGAAGCAAUGGCAGGCCCUUGAGCUGCCAGGUGGCAAGAAGUUAAGAUUGAGUUCAAUCCAUAUGGUUUUGGAUUUGUCAUUAUCUUUGUCUUGUGAUUAUGGUUUGACAAAUUCAUAUGGGUAGGAACUCAUACACCAUAUAAAUCUAAGUGUCAUAAGGUUUCUCUCCGAUUCAUGAAAAUGAUGGUGAGGAAACGCUUUCACUAAGUAGAUUUUACGAAGAUAUCAAUUGUGUUAUUUGCAUUUUCAAAAGUCGUUAGUGGAGCGCGUGUGGUUAACCGGCACACUAACAUGGACUUGUGAGAAAUGGCAAAUGCCUAAGCAAUUGAGACCAUGAUUACGGUAUCCCUUUUCAUGGUUCUUGAAAUUGCUUAGACACACAGGUGAGCUAUCUACGGAAAGGGUGUAUGAAUCUAAAUUUCAGACUGUCCAGCUGAUUUCUGAGUACAUGUCAAAGCUAGUGGGAGCAUAAGUGUUAUGCUAAUAAUCAUCAUGUUAGUGGGAGCAUGAUAAUUAUGAUAAGUAUUGCAAGUUAGCAAUGUUAAUUAUAGAAAACAAAAGUUUCAAUUGGGAAAAAGUUGUUUUGCUAUAAUUAAGGGAGAGGAAAUUAUGCUUCAUCUCAAAUCUAUAAGCUUAGAUCGUGAGGUUUUAAUCAUUUAGUCAAGGAUAUAUAUGAAUUUCAUGUUGGAAUGGCUCAACAUAAGGAAAUUCUGUAUAUGGGUCCAUUAUUUGCGUUCUAAAAUUCGAUUAUGAUUACGGCAUCCCUUUUCAUAAUCUGAAUUAUGAGAACUUGGCAAAUUGAAAUGGAAAUAUUAUAGCAAAAGACUGGUUUAGUCUUUAUGUAAGACAUCAUGAAUCGUGUCCCAUAUGCUUCGGAUAUAGGAUCGAUUACAUGUGCUAUAUUCAUCCGUUCUAAAAUUUUCCAAAUGCCUGGGGCAUUAAGAAGGGAAAAGGUUUAGAACUGGAUAUGACUAAAAGGAUUAAACAAUUGUCGAGGACAAUCUAAGGUUUACCAAAGAUUGGUUACUCAAGGACAAUUGGAAGUAUAGUGAUAAUUCUGGAAGGACCAUAUUGACAUAAUCUGUAAGGAGGCAACUCUUGUUCAGAAGUGAUAGUCAAAAUGGAAUCUGGAAAUGUUUCAAAGUUAGAAUUUUCAAUCUGUGUAAGAUUAAGGAAACUUAAUGCAAGAAGGAUAUUUCCAAGGAGUUGAUCUCCUUUGGAAUACUCUGUAAUGAUUGUUGCCAAGUCUUUGUGACUUUGUGCAUAAUCAUUACAAGAGGAUCAAUGCAUAUAAGUUUAGAAUCUAACAGAUUUCAGUAAAUGGCAUGAAUUUGGAAUUCUUGCAUUUGCAGUAAGGAUUUGGGAGUGUGAAAAGAGAAUCAUUGAAGUUAUGUUCAAUUGAUCUAGUUCACAAAGUAAAGAUCAUAGACAAACAUAGUAUGCAUACUUGGUGUGUGGCAUGACUAGUGUUUAAGAAAACAUAGUGUACAUGCUUGGAGCAUGGGACAACUAUUGUUUUAAAUUCAAGAAUAAAGUUGAUAGCUGAAACAGUAUACAAUGAAUAAUGUGUAAUCAUAUGGUGAUAAAUAAAAGGUGUUUUAUUUAUGUUCAAAGGGUUGAUACCAUAUUGGAUUCAAUUAUUAUUGUGUUUCAUUUUGCAUGUUUUGACUUCCCGAAUAAACUGGGUUAUUCUUCCGGAAUGACUAAGUUAUUCAAACCAUCCACAGUCGGUCAUAUGUUGGAAGUAGAUAUGAAUUAAGACUGUCAUGGGUUGGCUUGUAGAGGUCUAAGGUGUUGGACAAAGGGCUACAACACUCAUGAGUGCUCAUAAGUUCUGAGUAUUGGAUUCAACCCGCGCUCAUUGGAAUCACUUCAUGGAUUUUAUCACGAGUGAUCAUGAGACGAUAAUAUCUUAUAUUCUUCAAACCUAGAGAUAUGAGUUGUUACUAUGAGUUGAUAGUACAUUGAUUGCACGAAAACGCAUUUGGUAACUCGGUGCUAUAAAACGUGCCUUUGUGUAUGAUUCAACAAGUAGUAGAACAAGCCAUAUGAGUCGAAGUUUAUCCAUUCCUUUUACCUUCGGGAUAAAAGCGAUAUCUGUGGGCCCCUCGAUGAUUUGAUGAUGACAUAUGGAAGUGCUUGGCCGGGCCAUGACUGUUUUGAUUUGUUCAAUUAGUCAGUCGUCAUAAAUCGGAAAUCGGGAAACAACAAAUGGACAGAGAGAAUGAUUAUAAUCCAUGUCUCAGUCCAUAUGAUAUCUAGAAUGGAGGAAU